GAUGAAGAACGUAGCGAAAUGCGAUAAGUAAUGUGAAUUGCAGAAUUCAGUGAAUCAUCGAAUCUUUGAACGCACAUUGCGCCCGCCAGUAUUCUGGCGGGCAUGCCUGUUCGAGCGUCAUUACAACCCUCAGGCCCCCGGGCCUGGCGUUGGGGAUCGGCGGAAGCCCCCUGUGGGCACACGCCGUCCCUCAAAUACAGUGGCGGUCCCGCCGCAGCUUCCAUUGCGUAGUAGCUAACACCUCGCAACUGGAGAGCGGCGCGGCCAUGCCGUAAAACACCCAACUUCUGAAUGUUGACCUCGAAUCAGGUAGGAAUACCCGCUGAGCUUAAGCAUAUCAAUAAGCGGAGGA
Molecule: unclassified non-coding RNA, 352 nt
Filed under: soil metagenome
Description: partial contains 5.8S ribosomal RNA, internal transcribed spacer 2, and large subunit ribosomal RNA
Rfam family: 5.8S ribosomal RNA (bases 1-120)
Source: RNAcentral